CCCAACACUUGCACCCCCCCUUUCCUGGGAAAUGUUGGAUAAAAAGCCUCACCAAUUUGCAUAGGUGACCACAGACCCAAACCCUUGGAUCUGAGAACAAUGAAAAAGCAUUCAGUUUUUUACAAGAAGACUUUUAAUAAAAAAUAGAAGUAAAUAGAAAUAAAGAAAUCCCCCCUGUAAAAUCAGGAUGGUAGAUAUCUUACAGGGUAAUUAGAUUCCAAAACAUAGAGAACCCCUCUAGGCAAAACCUUAAGUUACAAAAAAGAUACACAGAGAGAAAUAGUUAUUCUAUUCAGCACAAUGCUUUUCUCAGCCAUUUAAAGAAAUCAUAAUCUAACACGUACCUAGCUAGAUUACUUACUAAAAGUUCUAAGACUCCAUUCCUGGUCUAUCCCCGGCAGAAAACCAGCAUAUAGACAGACACACAGACCCUUUGUUUCUCUCCCUCCUCCCGGCUUUUGAAAGUAUCUUGUCUCCUCAUUGGUCAUUGUGGUCAGGUGCCAGCGAGGUUACCUUUAGCUUCUUAACCCUUCACAGGUGAGAGGAGCUUUCCCCUGGCCAGGAGGGGUUUCAAAGGGCUUUACCCUUCCCUUUAUAUUUAUGACAGGGUGUGCGGUGGGGGAGGCCGGUCGGCCCCUGGCGCUGUUUCCUGACAGAGUCUCCAAUGCUGAGAGCGGGGAGGGGCGACACCCCGCUGCCCCGGGAGAGCUUUCCCGCCCUUUUCCUGAGGUGGGUGACCGUUGGGCCCCACAGGUGGAAGAGGCGCGCGCGCGCGCGCCUCUCCCCGGGUUUCCGGCCCCCCCCCGCCCUUCCCCCGGCGGAGAGGACGCAGGCGGGCGGGGGCGGGGUCUGGCCGAGCCUCGCCGGCGCCUUGGUAACGGGACGUGGGAGGUGUAAACAAAAGGGGAGACCCCGCCCACUCCUGGGAGGAGGCCACGCCCGCUGGCUGCCUCGCCUGGCCCCGGCGGGGAGCGCGAGCCGGCCCCGGGUCCGGCCAGCCGUGCUGCCACGCGCUCCGGGCUGCGGCCCGCGCAGGAGAGGCGGUUCUAUCUUCAGGGCUUCAUGCUGAGUCCAUCAGUUCAGGUCAAUAAAAGGACUUACCAUGUGGAAGUCACUGGUUCAACUUUUAAACCCCACAUUGCACAGAGGCUGCACAACUGGCAACAGUUCUACACUUCUCCUGUGCUUCCACACCACUGGAACAGAGGAGAUAGCAUCUGGGACAUUAUCCUGCCAGCUGGCCAGAGGCUGACACCAAGGUGUGGAUAGCCCUUACAACAACAGAGAGAGCCAGGAACUUCAAUGCAAAGAUUGUAAUAUAAUCUCAGAUUAAUACAUAGAAUUGAUAA
RNA transcript from Caretta caretta (loggerhead turtle), 1349 nucleotides. It is a transcript of the gene named small lysine rich protein 1, with no coding region annotated. Lineage: Eukaryota; Metazoa; Chordata; Testudines; Cheloniidae. The record is from RefSeq and is a predicted model, not a curated record.